Molecule: ribosomal RNA, 468 nt
Filed under: uncultured bacterium
Lineage: Bacteria
Description: partial 16S ribosomal RNA
Rfam family: Bacterial small subunit ribosomal RNA
Source: RNAcentral
GACGAACGCUGGCGGCGUGCUUAACACAUGCAAGUCGAACGGAAAGGCCCUGCUUUUGUGGGGUGCUCGAGUGGCGAACGGGUGAGUAACACGUGAGUAACCUGCACUUGACCUUGGGAUAACUUCAGGAAACUGGGGCUAAUACCGGCUAGGAGCUCCUGCUGCAUGGUGGGGGUUGGAAAGUUUCGGCGGUUGGGGAUGGACUGGCGGCUUAUCAGAUUGUUGGGGGGGUAGUGGCUUACCAAGGCUUUGACGGGUAGCCGGGCUGAGAGGGGAACCGGACACAUUAGGACGGAACUGAGACCCGGACUAGAACCGGACGCAGGGGAGGAGUAGAGAAUACAGUGGGAUGGAGGCAGGUGUAGCACCGCAGCGUGCGGUGUGAGAGGCUGGCGGUUGUGUUGUAAAGUCGUCUGUGACGAGACGAUAAUGACGGUACCGGGUAAAGAAGCACCGGCUAACUACGUG